Unclassified non-coding RNA from Erinaceus europaeus (western European hedgehog), 280 nucleotides. Its record names the gene 7SK. It matches the Rfam family "7SK RNA". From Rfam's summary of the family: 7SK was discovered as an abundant small nuclear RNA in the mid-70s but a possible function has only recently been suggested. The record is from Ensembl. Lineage: Eukaryota; Metazoa; Chordata; Mammalia; Eulipotyphla; Erinaceidae.
GAAUCUAAGAGUGAUCCAGCUGUACUAUCUGCCAAUCCAUUGAUUACCAUGGUUGAUUUGGCUGAUGUGGCUGGGUAGGUGGGUGUUCCUCACUCAGUGCUCCAUGUGUGUUACUGCUGAAGCUAUGCACUUGGUCAAAGAAGAAGACUAGAGGCAAGUGGUUCUUCAGGGGAGGUUAUAGCUGCACUCCCCUGCUAGAAUCCCCAAGGUCCAAAUCCUAAUGAUAGUGGACACAGUCUGCCCUAGAUGUCACUGGACACUCUCCUGGACAUUCCCACAG